This 4664-nucleotide long non-coding RNA is filed under the name Sus scrofa (pig). RNAcentral's name for it is "lncRNA (ENSSSCG00000058617.1)". Lineage: Eukaryota; Metazoa; Chordata; Mammalia; Artiodactyla; Suidae. The record is from RNAcentral.
CCAGGGAUCGAAUCUGUACCACAGCAGUGACAACACCAGCUCCUUAACUCACUAGGCCACUAGAGUGCUCCCCUCUUAGAGAGUUUUUCUUACCUGAGUUCCCAGAACCUUGCUGGCCUAGUAAACACAGGCAAUUGCUAUAAAUAGAGGAGCAAGGAGAACACCCUAUGUGUGUCCCAUACACUCUUCUAAGAAGAGAUGUGCUGAGCAAGCACAAGGAUUUCCUUUGUCAUUAUGGAAAUGUUCAGAAAUGACUGUAUUUAACACGAUCAAUUAAUUUAGUUAGAAUAUUUUAAAUGGAAUAACUGGUAAGAUGAAAAAUGGUCUUUAUUUUCUUGAAUGAGGCUGCAUUUCGAAGAAAACAACUAAAUGGAUGUGAGAUUGGAUGGGAAGACAGUUGGCUUGAGUGGCACUUCUUCCACAACUAUAAUACCAGAAGAGGGUGAGAAGGAACCCACAGGGCACUAUGGGAGCUCUUCCUCAGCCUUGGUUGAGUUCUGCUCUGUCCCCUGCUCCUUCAGCCAAAGGCUGGGAAGUUCAGCUGCAGAUUUUUCUGCCACAUAGACUGUGUCUGGAAAAGAGAACUCUAGGGAAGAGAUUUUUUGGAUUAGAAAACCAGAAAGAGUCCAGUAAUGUUAAAGAAAGACAGAAAGAAAGAAAGAAAGAAGAAAGAAAGAAAGAAAGAAAGAAAGAAAGAAAGAAAGAAAGAAAGAAAGAAAGAAAGAAAGAAAGAAAAAGAAAGAAAGAAAGAAAAAGAAUAGAAAAGCUUCCUUCAGUCUGGAAUUUUGCUCAAAAGAUCAGGACAGGGAGUUUCUGUAGUGGCUCAGUGGUUAACGAACCUGACUAGUAACCAUGAGAUCGCAGGUUCCAUCCCUGGCCUGGCUUAGUGGGUUAAGGAUCCAGCAUUGUCAUGAGCUGUGGUGUAGGUUGCAGACGUGGCUCGGAUCCCACUUUGCUGUGGCUGUGGUGUAAGCCGGCGGUUACAGCUGUGAUUAGACCCCUAGCCUGGGAACCUCCCAUAUGCCAAGGGUGCAGCCCUAAAAAGACAAAAGACAAAAAAAAAAAAAAAAAAAGAUCAGGACAGUUUUUAUUUGAAUUUGGAGUUCCUGUUGUGGCACAGUGGAAACGAACCCGACUAGUAUCCAUGAGGAUGGAGGUUCAAUCCCUGGUCUCAUCACUGGGUUAAGGAUCCAGCGUUGCUGUGAGCUGUGGUAUAGAUCGCAGACAUGGCUUGGAUCCCAUGUCGCUGUGGCUGUGGUGUAGGCUAACAACUGCAGCUCUGAUUCGACCCCUAGCCUGGGAACUUCCAUAUGCUGCAUGUGUGGACUUAAAAAAAUUUGUUUUCUCUGUAAAAGAACUCAUCAAGGAUACUAUUAUUAUUGCCGUAUCUAUCUAUGUGUCUGUGCAUCUAUGUCUACCUAUUGCAGAGACACACACACAUAUUAUCUGUAUAUGUGUAUGGUGGUAGCUUAUAAAAUUUGAAUAGCUUGUUUAAAGAGAAAAAUACCAAGGAUCUUACUUUGCAAAUUUUGCAGAAACAUGACUGCAUUAGCACAUCGCUGGAGCUGCCCUCCCCCACCCACCCCACCUCCCACCCAGGGUCUGGCCUGAAGCCUGAAUUCUCUUGGCUUCCUGGAAAUCUGGUCCAGGUCUGUGUAGUCCCUGUGAGGACUCCUGGUUCAGAGACUCCCUGAUAGGCAUCAAGGACUGGUCAUGGUAACUUGCAGCCAGAACUCUAGGUCUGUCUUUACUGGUCUCUCCAACAGCCAGGAAAAGCAUAUUUUAGGAGCAAAUCCAAAUGCUCUGGUCUUGAAGUAGAAAGAUGAGAAAAACAGCAACAGAGGCAGGAGUAGGAGGGAGAAGAAAGGCAGGAGAAAGCUGCGAAGGGGUGGGGGCUAUGUGGGGUGGAGUGGGGACGGCAGACUAUCUUCCUUACAGGUGUGGGAGGGAACAGAGAAGUCAGUGGUUUCAGACCUCCCUUGGAUCCUGAGCAGAAGGCUAGAGGCUGAGUUAUUUGGGAGGAGAAAUUGGCAGCUUCCCUCUGGGAAGCCCACCUGAUGAAAGUGCAAGGUUUAAAGAGAACUAAGUGCUUGCUUGUGGCCCAGGUCCCCAGGGGAAGUCUCGCCUGUCUUCCAUGGAGCUCUGGCAACCAGCCCCGGGCCCUGGAGCUGUACCUCUCUGGUGCAGGUGUCAGGUGGGUUGGACAAUGACUUGUUUCCAUGGCCCCAGCCUCUUGCAGCUCCUGUGUGUCCAUCUGUCCCCAGAGAUGCAGCAGCUGGGCAGGGCAGGGAGAGACAGCAGACAGGCCCAGAGGAGAGUAGAGAGAGGGUAUGCAGCUCAAUCCAUGCGGAACCGGGACUGAAUCCUGGGGCAACAAAGUGGCUGUAAAGGGCAUUACUCCAUGAUUGAAGGAGUUGGUAUUUGGGCUAAGAAUAGAUAACUGUGUCAGUUUUGAAUUUCUUGAAUAUGAAAAUUAUACUGUUGUGUAAAAGAAUAUCCUAUUCUUAGGGAGAAGUGCUGAAAUAUUUAGGGGUAAAAGGGAGUGAUGUCUUUGCAACUGACUUCCAAAUCGUUCAUAAAAUAACAAUUAUUAAAUAUAUAAAUAGAGAUUGGGAUUUUCCAUCAUGGCUCAGCAGUUAACAAACCUGACUAGCAUCCAUGAGGACAUGGGUUUGAUCCCUGGCCUCUCUCAGUGGGUUAAGAAAGAGGCAUUGCCAUGAGCUGUGGUAUGGGUCACAGACACGACUCAGAUCCUGCAUUGCUGUGGCUAUGGUGUAGGCUGGCAGCCAUAGCUCCGACUGGACCCCUAGCCAGGGAACCUCCAUAUGCCACAGGUGUGGCCCUAAAAAUACAAAAAGACCAAAUAUGUGUGUGUGUGUGUGUGUGUGUGUAGAGAGAGAGAGAGCACAAAUGUAGCAAAAUGUGGAUAACCCGUGAAUGAUAGGUAUGAGGGAGUGCUUUGUACUAUUCCUGAAUCAUUUCUCUGAAGUUUGAAAUUAGAAGUUACAAAAUAAACAGCAGAGGGCACAGAGUUUGGGGUGUAUUUCCAGCUGUCUGGGUGUUGAAGGUACAGAUACAGGGGUUCCGCCUGGGAAGUCUGCUCUGGAAGGUGUGAGGUGAGCCUGGGGCUCUGCUCUGGUCACACAGGCAGCAGCUGCAACUCUGAGAAGCACUUCAGCCUCCAGGGAGAUAUGCUCACCAUCUAAGUGGUACCUCUGAUGUCCCUGAUCUGAGGCUCAGUCCUGAGCAGCCCCAAUGAAGCAAGAGCAAAAAGCCACCCACCCACACCCAGUGGUGGUCCCCAGUUGACUGGACCCCCUGCUCUUCCGGGGACCCCUUGGCAACGGUGUCCCUAGAGAUGGUCUCAGUCACUUGGUCCUCCCAGAACCCAGAGAAAACAUUACUGACACCAAGGGGGCCCCUUAAAAGGUGGGGGAUAUGGUGAGAGUGUGGGUGCUGCCCACACUGACCUGAUGGAACUGUCGGUGAAUGUGCUUGGGCGGAGAAGGAGCUGGGGGUGAGAGUGUGAAGAACACCAGAUGCAGGGAGAGGUGGGCAUGGGGUGGGAGGGGGAGACAAGAUGCAUUUGAGGUUAUUUAGUUAUUUUUUAUCUUUUAAGGGGCGACACCUGUGGCAUAUGGAAGUUCCUGGGCUAUAGGGGUUGAAUCAGAGCUGCAGCUACAACCUACGCCACAGCCACAGCAACAUGGAAUACUUUACCCACUGAGUGAGGCCAGGGAUUGAAUCUGCAUCCUCAUGGAUACUAGUCAGGUUCUUAACCUGCUGAGCCAGAACAGAACUCCAGUCUGAGGUUAUGGAUGUAUCUGUGCACCAAAUAUUUGAUGGCUACACAUCCCGUGUGUGCCUGGCUCUGUGUGAGGAACGUAAGCCCAGCUCUCUCCUGCAGCUCCUGGGAUGAGGAACCAGAGGGCUAGCCCCAGGAUGUAAUAGAGCCUAGUGAAGGGAGGUAAUAUCAUUUAGAAAGUUUGGCACAGAUGUUGACACAUGAGGAGGGAAUUUCCAAACAUCAGGAAACCCACUUUUCUGCAGGUCCUGUCAGCCAGGUAAAUUGCGUGUCCCAAUAAUAGUAAUUAUUUGAAACAGAGCUUCAUCUCACAUUCUUAUCAGUGGCCUUUGGAGUCAUCAGGGUUCCAGAACCACGAGACCCCUCCCCUCAUGGUUCCAUGGGGCCCUCUCUGUCUCACUUACCGCCCCCCCACAACUUCCACUCUAGACUGCCUCUGUCUGCCCAUCGAAGGGAAAUUCUCAACUUUCUCCUCUCUUCUCUAGGAGAAAAUGCAUUUGUUUGGUUCUUAUUUGGGUUACUUUUAUUUAACAUAUUUUUUUUAGUAGGUAAUGCACUUGCAGAUUUGAAAAAUAAAAGGAGUAAAGGAUACUUGGACAGCCCCACGGCUGUUCCUGCCUCAAGGUCACCGGUCUUCCCAGAGGACACGUUUCUUGUGUAUCUUUCCAGAGACUGUCUCUCUAUAUUAAAGAGUGUAUUUUUCUUCAUAUUAAAGAACAGAUUCUAUACAUUUUAGAUGCUGUAUUGUGCUUUGCUUCUUUCAGCUAUUUAAAAUAUAUCUUGGAGCUAAUGUUCCAUUGGUGCAUGAGGAGCUUUUUCAUUCUUUUGGUGACUGCCUAAUAUUCCACUACAUAUAUGA